Molecule: ribosomal RNA, 468 nt
Filed under: uncultured bacterium
Lineage: Bacteria
Description: partial 16S ribosomal RNA
Rfam family: Bacterial small subunit ribosomal RNA
Source: RNAcentral
GACGAACGCUGGCGGCGUGCUUAACACAUGCAAGUCGAACGGAAAGGCCCUGCUUUUGUGGGGUGCUCGAGUGGCGAACGGGUGAGUAACACGUGAGUAACCUGCCCUUGACUUUGGGAUAACUUCAGGAAACUGGGGCUAAUACCGGAUAGGCGCUCCUGCUGCCUGGUGGGGGUUGGAAAGUUUCGGCGGUUGGGGAUGGACUCGCGGCUUAUCAGCUUGUUGGUGGGGUAGUGGCUUACCAAGGCUUUGACGGGUAGCCGGCCUGGGAGGGUGACCGGCCACAUUGGGACUGAGAUGCGGCCCAGACUCCUACGGGAGGCAGCGGUGGGGAAGAUUGCACAAUGGGCGGAAGCCUGAUGCAGCAACGCCGCGUGCGGGAUGACGGCCUUCGGGUUGUAAACCGCUUUCGCCUGUGACGAAGCGUGAGUGACGGUAAUGGGUAAAGAAGCACCGGCUAACUACGUG